UCAGUCCACCAUAAUUCGAAAGUCCGUCAAUCAUAUCAGAUAGUUAUAGAGGAGCGAUGGCAAUACCGUAGAUGAUAAUGGAGGGAUCCAUAUAGAGAUUCUUCAGUUCUUCAGAGAUCGAUGGACGGCAUCGCAUGACGAGGACUACCCCAUCUCGGGUGCCCAGUCGGUGAUCGGUAUCUCUGCUCAGGAGAAUGAUACUCGGACAAGCCCGAUGUCUUUGAAGG
This 227-nucleotide long non-coding RNA is filed under the name Elaeis guineensis (African oil palm). Its description in RNAcentral is "long non-coding RNA (EGUI_LNC038798)". Lineage: Eukaryota; Viridiplantae; Streptophyta; Magnoliopsida; Arecales; Arecaceae. The record is from RNAcentral.